UUGCUAUCUGCGAUAUAAAAGAUUCGAACCUGCAGCAGGUUCGAGUCGAACGAAGUGAGACAACGGAGCCGCCUGCGGCGACGGCCCGAAGGGCGAGUAGCGCAGUGAGACAACGGAGCCGCUUGCGGCGACGGCCCGAAGGGCGAGGCAAAGCCGAGUCAUCCUGCACGACCCACCA
RNAcentral lists this small RNA (178 nucleotides) under Enterobacteriaceae bacterium. RNAcentral describes it as "RtT sRNA". It matches the Rfam family "RtT RNA". From Rfam's summary of the family: This family represents a bacterial cis-regulatory element known as RtT RNA. The exact function of RtT is unknown although it is thought that it may be involved in changing the cellular response in relation to amino acid starvation. The record is from RNAcentral. Lineage: Bacteria; Pseudomonadati; Pseudomonadota; Gammaproteobacteria; Enterobacterales; Enterobacteriaceae.